GCGGAAGUGGAGGAAUUGGUAGACGCACCAGAUUUAGGUUCUGGCGCCGCAAGGUGUGAGAGUUCAAGUCUCUCUUUCCGCACCA
This 85-nucleotide transfer RNA is filed under the name Vibrio parahaemolyticus 10329. RNAcentral's name for it is "tRNA-Leu". It matches the Rfam family "tRNA". From Rfam's summary of the family: Transfer RNA (tRNA) molecules are approximately 80 nucleotides in length. Their secondary structure includes four short double-helical elements and three loops (D, anti-codon, and T loops). RNAcentral also lists the same sequence under 7 other names. The record is from RNAcentral. Lineage: Bacteria; Pseudomonadati; Pseudomonadota; Gammaproteobacteria; Vibrionales; Vibrionaceae.